This is a long non-coding RNA of Triticum aestivum (bread wheat), 677 nucleotides long. RefSeq lists it as uncharacterized. The transcript is spliced from 2 exons. The record is from RefSeq and is a predicted model, not a curated record. Lineage: Eukaryota; Viridiplantae; Streptophyta; Magnoliopsida; Poales; Poaceae.
GCAGAUUUAGCCCCAAAAUGCUAAUUUAGCUAUGAUUUUAUCUAUUACUGAUGUGAUUAUUUGUUUCACAGGGUUCUUGUACAUGCGAAAGUGCAUGAUUUUUCGAUGGUUGUCUAGCUGCAGUUGUCUCCCCAUGUAAUGGCAUCAAGUUCAGAGCGCCCCAACUGCCUCUCCUUCGACCGUGGUUCAGGAGAGCAUGUCUAAAGAAAAGAAAAACCUGGAUAAUCAUGGUUGUUACAGGCCUAGGGAAAUUGAUACACUCAUGGGCCACCUGAUGUUGGUUGUCAAGCUUGUUUGCUGCGACCAUCAGCCGAUGUAUCCUUCAUCAGUGCACGGCCAUGGCGAUGAAAUGCUGCGUUGAUGGGUCUAGUUUCAGAAUUAAGCUAUGUAGUUUGGCUCUGUCAUGUUGCAAUGUCUGUGAAGGAAGGACACAAAGUGCUAGUGCUUCCUGGGCUGUGUAGACCCCAAAUAUUUUUAUUAGCUCAUCUGAGAAGUACUCCCUCUGUUCGUAACUGUAAGUAUUUUUAGAUAUUCCAAUUCGGACUGCAUACGGAGCAAAAUGAGUGAAUGUACACUCUAAAAUAUGUAGUCCAUAUUGACAUCUCUAGAAAGACUUUUAUUUAGGAACGGAGGGAGUAGUUGAUGACAUAAAUAAUCAACUUGGUUUUGGGUCAAAA